UACGGGAGGCAGCAGUGGGGAAUAUUGCACAAUGGAGGAAACUCUGAUGCAGCGAUGCCGCGUGAGGGAAGAAGGUUUUAGGAUUGUAAACCUCUGUUGACAGGGACGAUAAU
RNAcentral lists this ribosomal RNA (113 nucleotides) under uncultured rumen bacterium. RNAcentral describes it as "partial 16S ribosomal RNA". It matches the Rfam family "Bacterial small subunit ribosomal RNA", at positions 340 to 452 of the family's 1533-position model. The record is from RNAcentral.